RNAcentral lists this long non-coding RNA (407 nucleotides) under Zonotrichia albicollis (white-throated sparrow). RNAcentral's name for it is "lncRNA (ENSZALG00000011205.1)". The record is from RNAcentral. Lineage: Eukaryota; Metazoa; Chordata; Aves; Passeriformes; Passerellidae.
AUGGUGAUGGGAAAGCUGGUGCACUGCCUGCCUCUUUGCCUGCUCCCUCUUCUUCCCCAGUGUCAGCACAGCCAGCUCAGCCUCAGGUGCACAGAUGCAUUCCUGUGUGAAACUGAGAAAGGAAAAGCAUCCUUAGCAUACAGAGGAUUAAAAAUAUCUGAUGGCCAUUCCACGUUUAAGCCCCUUAAACAGGAUAGAGUGGAACACAUUGUGGUGUCUAUAGCAACAGGUGUGAAAUCAAAGCCAUGCCGAGGGUCCUGGCAGAGUGGGGAUGGUCCAGCAGCCAAGGUGCUGCUCUGUGCCCUUGUGCCUGGCCAGCUGGGUGAGCAAUCCAAUGAUCAUGUCCUUUGUUAGGAUCAUGUCCUAUGUUUUGCUACCUGAGGGGAUUCAGCUGGACAAAGCCCCAU